This 2905-nucleotide ribosomal RNA is filed under the name Edwardsiella hoshinae NBRC 105699 = ATCC 33379. RNAcentral's name for it is "bacterial LSU rRNA". It matches the Rfam family "Bacterial large subunit ribosomal RNA". The record is from RNAcentral. Lineage: Bacteria; Pseudomonadati; Pseudomonadota; Gammaproteobacteria; Enterobacterales; Hafniaceae.
UUAAGUGACUAAGCGUACACGGUGGAUGCCUAGGCAGUCAGAGGCGAUGAAGGACGUGCUAAUCUGCGAUAAGCGUCGGUGAGCUGAUAUGAAGCAUUAUUAGCCGGCGAUGUCCGAAUGGGGAAACCCAGUGCAAUUCGUUGCACUAUCGUUAAGUGAAUCCAUAGCUUAACGAGGCGAACCAGGGGAACUGAAACAUCUAAGUACCCUGAGGAAAAGAAAUCAACCGAGAUUCCCCUAGUAGCGGCGAGCGAACGGGGAGCAGCCCAGAACCUGAAUCAGUUUGUGCAUUAGUGGAAGCGUCUGGAAAGUCGCGCGAUACCGGGUGAUAGCCCCGUACACGAAGGUGCACAGCUGUGAGUUCGAUGAGUAGGGCGGGACACGUGUUAUCCUGUCUGAAUAUGGGGGGACCAUCCUCCAAGGCUAAAUACUCCUGACUGACCGAUAGUGAACCAGUACCGUGAGGGAAAGGCGAAAAGAACCCCGGCGAGGGGAGUGAAAUAGAACCUGAAACCGUGUACGUACAAGCAGUGGGAGCACCCUUUGGGGUGUGACUGCGUACCUUUUGUAUAAUGGGUCAGCGACUUAUAUUUUGUAGCAAGGUUAACCGAAUAGGGGAGCCGUAGGGAAACCGAGUCUUAACUGGGCGUUGAGUUGCAAGGUAUAGACCCGAAACCCGGUGAUCUAGCCAUGGGCAGGUUGAAGGUUGGGUAACACUAACUGGAGGACCGAACCGACUAAUGUUGAAAAAUUAGCGGAUGACUUGUGGCUGGGGGUGAAAGGCCAAUCAAACCGGGAGAUAGCUGGUUCUCCCCGAAAGCUAUUUAGGUAGCGCCUCGUGAACUCAUCUUCGGGGGUAGAGCACUGUUUCGGCUAGGGGGUCAUCCCGACUUACCAACCCGAUGCAAACUGCGAAUACCGAAGAAUGUUAUCACGGGAGACACACGGCGGGUGCUAACGUCCGUCGUGAAGAGGGAAACAACCCAGACCGCCAGCUAAGGUCCCAAAGUCAUGGUUAAGUGGGAAACGAUGUGGGAAGGCAUAGACAGCCAGGAUGUUGGCUUAGAAGCAGCCAUCAUUUAAAGAAAGCGUAAUAGCUCACUGGUCGAGUCGGCCUGCGCGGAAGAUGUAACGGGGCUAAACCAUGCACCGAAGCUGCGGCAGCGACACUAUGUGUUGUUGGGUAGGGGAGCGUUCUGUAAGCCUGUGAAGGUGACCUGUGAGGGUUGCUGGAGGUAUCAGAAGUGCGAAUGCUGACAUAAGUAACGAUAAAGCGGGUGAAAAGCCCGCUCGCCGGAAGACCAAGGGUUCCUGUCCAACGUUAAUCGGGGCAGGGUAAGUCGACCCCUAAGGCGAGGCCGAAAGGCGUAGUCGAUGGGAAACAGGUUAAUAUUCCUGUACUUGGUGUUAUUGCGAAGGGGGGACGGAGAAGGCUAGGCCGGCCGGGCGACGGUUGUCCCGGUUUAAGCGUGUAGGUGUGAUGACCUGGCAAAUCCGGUCAUCUUCAACACUGAGGCGUGAUGACGAGGCACUACGGUGCUGAAGUGGUUGAUGCCCUGCUUCCAGGAAAAGCCUCUAAGCUCUAGAUAACACUGAAUCGUACCCCAAACCGACACAGGUGGUCAGGUAGAGAAUACCAAGGCGCUUGAGAGAACUCGGGUGAAGGAACUAGGCAAAAUGGUGCCGUAACUUCGGGAGAAGGCACGCUGGCAUGUAGGUGAAGUCCCUCGCGGAUGGAGCUGAAGCCAGUCGAAGAUACCAGCUGGCUGCAACUGUUUAAUAAAAACACAGCACUCUGCAAACACGAAAGUGGACGUAUAGGGUGUGACGCCUGCCCGGUGCUGGAAGGUUAAUUGAUGGGGUCAGCCGCAAGGCGAAGCUCUUGAUCGAAGCCCCAGUAAACGGCGGCCGUAACUAUAACGGUCCUAAGGUAGCGAAAUUCCUUGUCGGGUAAGUUCCGACCUGCACGAAUGGCGUAAUGAUGGCCAGGCUGUCUCCACCCGAGACUCAGUGAAAUUGAACUCGCUGUGAAGAUGCAGUGUACCCGCGGCAAGACGGAAAGACCCCGUGAACCUUUACUAUAGCUUGACACUGAACAUUGAACCUUGAUGUGUAGGAUAGGUGGGAGGCUUUGAAGUGUGGACGCCAGUCUGCAUGGAGCCGACCUUGAAAUACCACCCUUUAAUGUUUGAUGUUCUAACCUGGUCCCGUGAUCCGGGAUAGGGACAGUGUCUGGUGGGUAGUUUGACUGGGGCGGUCUCCUCCCAAAGCGUAACGGAGGAGCACGAAGGUUAGCUAAUCCUGGUCGGACAUCAGGAGGUUAGUGCAAAGGCAUAAGCUAGCUUGACUGCGAGAGUGACGGCUCGAGCAGGUGCGAAAGCAGGUCUUAGUGAUCCGGUGGUUCUGAAUGGAAGGGCCAUCGCUCAACGGAUAAAAGGUACUCCGGGGAUAACAGGCUGAUACCGCCCAAGAGUUCAUAUCGACGGCGGUGUUUGGCACCUCGAUGUCGGCUCAUCACAUCCUGGGGCUGAAGUAGGUCCCAAGGGUAUGGCUGUUCGCCAUUUAAAGUGGUACGCGAGCUGGGUUUAGAACGUCGUGAGACAGUUCGGUCCCUAUCUGCCGUGGGCGUUGGAAGAUUGAGAGGGGCUGCUCCUAGUACGAGAGGACCGGAGUGGACGCACCGCUGGUGUUCGGGUUGUGAUGCCAAUUGCAUUGCCCGGUAGCUACGUGCGGAAGAGAUAAGCGCUGAAAGCAUCUAAGCGCGAAACUUGCCUCGAGAUGAGUCUUCCCUUGGACCUAGAGUCCACUAAAGGAACGUUUAAGACUAAGACGUUGAUAGGCUGGGUGUGUAAGCGUAGCGAUACGUUGAGCUAACCAGUACUAAUGAUCCGUGAGGCUUAACCUU